GUGCUUGCUUCAGCAGCACAUAUACUGAAAUUGGAACAAUAUGGAGAAGAUUAGCAUGGACCCCGUGCAAAAAUGACACACACAUUUGUGAAGUGUCCCAUAUUUAA
Molecule: small nuclear RNA, 107 nt
Organism: Mustela putorius furo (domestic ferret)
Lineage: Eukaryota; Metazoa; Chordata; Mammalia; Carnivora; Mustelidae
Source: Ensembl